This 444-nucleotide ribosomal RNA is filed under the name uncultured soil bacterium. RNAcentral describes it as "bacterial SSU rRNA". It matches the Rfam family "Bacterial small subunit ribosomal RNA", at positions 26 to 480 of the family's 1533-position model. The record is from RNAcentral.
AGGAUGAACGCUGGCGGCGUGCUUAACACAUGCAAGUCGAACGGUGAAGCAGGAGCUUGCUCCUGUGGAUCAGUGGCGAACGGGUGAGUAACACGUGAGAAAUCUGCCCUGGACUCUGGGAUAAGCGUUGGAAACGACGUCUAAUACCGGAUACGAGACGUGAAGGCAUCUUCAACGUCUGGAAAGAACUUCGGUCCAGGAUGAUCUCGCGGCCUAUCAGCUAGUGGUGAGUAACGGCCCACCAAGCGACGACGGGUAGCCGGCCUGAGAGGGUGACCGGCCACACUGGGACUGAGACACGGCCCAGACUCCUACGGGAGCAGCAGUGGGAAUAUUGCACAAUGGGCGCAAGCCUGAUGCAGCAACGCCGCGUGAGGGUACGACGGUCCUUCGGUCGUAAACCUCGUUUUAAGUACGGUAAGAAGCGAAACGUAGACGGUAACC